AGCAGCCGUGUCAAAUUCAGUGCUUCCCCCUCAGUGGAUGCCACUGGCCAAAAUGGCUGCCACAGUGACGGUGUAGUUCAUGGGCCCCACGGUACUCCUUCAUGGCCACUGGGGAUAAAUAUGUACUACACACAAGC
This is a small nucleolar RNA of Cyclopterus lumpus (lumpfish), 137 nucleotides long. The record is from Ensembl. NCBI's taxonomy places the organism in Eukaryota, Metazoa, Chordata, Actinopteri, Perciformes, Cyclopteridae.